RNAcentral lists this unclassified non-coding RNA (272 nucleotides) under uncultured Lepiota. RNAcentral describes it as "sequence contains ITS1". The stretch from base 1 to 104 matches the Rfam family "5.8S ribosomal RNA", at positions 50 to 154 of the family's 154-position model. Lineage: Eukaryota; Fungi; Basidiomycota; Agaricomycetes; Agaricales; Agaricaceae. The record is from RNAcentral.
GAAAUGCGAUAAGUAAUGUGAAUUGCAGAAUUCAGUGAAUCAUCGAAUCUUUGAACGCACCUUGCGCUCCUUGGUAUUCCGAGGAGCAUGCCUGUUUGAGGUCGGCUCCCCUAAAAUGCAUUAGCAGAACCGUUUGCGGUCAGUCGCAGGUGUGAUAAUUAUCUACGCCAAAGACCAAGGCUGCUCUCUGUUUGUUCAGCUUCUAAUUGUCUCGGGACAAAUUUUUUUGAAUGUUUGACCUCAAAUCAGGUAGGACUACCCGCUGAACUUAA